RNAcentral lists this long non-coding RNA (3803 nucleotides) under Vitis vinifera (wine grape). Its description in RNAcentral is "long non-coding RNA (VVIN_LNC005990)". Lineage: Eukaryota; Viridiplantae; Streptophyta; Magnoliopsida; Vitales; Vitaceae. The record is from RNAcentral.
AAAAAGGGGGGAAAACAGAGAAAAAGAUUGAGAAGAAUAGAGUUGUUGGUUGCUGAAACAGUUGGACUCAUAUAUAAUCAACUUUCUUACAAUUGGUAGACCAAGGAAAAAAACCAUUUCAAUCAGUGGAUGAAGAUGACAUCAACACUAAUAGGGGAAAAUGAUAAAGCAAUUGAAUGCAAUGAUAAUUGUUUGGAGGAUGUUGCCAAUGAUAAUAAUGAUGGUGACAAAGAAUCAUUGAUAAAUCCAUGGCCCAUGAGAAAGAGUUGGAUUUUGAAAUAAAGAAAGAAGAAUUGAAAUGAUAAACAAUUAAUUUUAUGGUCUUAUUAUUUCAUUUUAAGUGAUUUUAUUAAAUAUUUUUUUCUGCAUGAGUUCUUUUAUUUAUUUAUUCAUUUAUUAAUUUUAAAAUUUGAGGCUUAUGCCUUGAGGCUUACACCUCUCUUCAUUUAGGUGAAAUGCCUCAAGGAUGCCUUUAGCCUUUUAAACAAUGGGUUUCAUUGCCUUCUUCUAAGUGCAAGUCUGGUUGUGUAGUUGAUAUGGUCAUGAAUUUAGUCACUCUUAAUUUCUUUCAUCUGAUUCUGCAACUAAAGAAAACUUCUGUGGUCAGAACUUAAUAAUCUUGCAUAAGCAUCUCAGUGUUGAAGUCAAGUCGAUGGAUUUACAUGCAUUUAAUUUCCGUGGUCCCUUCUUCCCUUGAGAGACCUAAGUUAUUACAUUGUAAAGUCUCAACCAAAAUUUUGUUGUAAUCCAUGGAACUCAUAAUGGUUAAGCCUCCAAUAAAGCAAGGAGCUCAGCCUUUAUGGCUAAUCCUUUCACUAGGAAAUUUGGAAAAUGCUUUAACUAGAAGUCCCUUGUCUCAAAAGAUACCACCAAUAAUGAAAGUCUUUACCUGAAGGUAAUCGUCAAAGUUAAGCUUGAGGUAACUUUGUUCUUAAGUUUUCAUUCUAAAACAGCUUUGGCAGCCUCCUACUAGAAGAGAAUAGAAUUCGCCAACCUAAACAGAUCAUGCUUGUUGACUUCCCACGAAAGAUCGAAGAGAUCUGAGAUUGGGGAAGGAGGUGGGGGAGAAGAAAGAUUUGCAUGAUGACUCACAUUGAUUUUCUUCUAUCCUGAAAAUCUUGGCAUUUCUCUCUACCAGUAUUACCCAAAGAAUGACAGUUAAAAGUCACCUGCUAGAGGACCCUACAACUGGCAUUGCUUCCAAAAUCUGGAAAUGUGAUAAUCAUCAAAUUUAUUAUGUUCCUGGUCCCCAAUUGAAAUAAUCUAUGCUAGAGUGUUAAGACCACGUGUCAGUGGAGAAAUAAAUGAUUAGUUGUUUCUCUAUAACCCAUACACAUAAUUGACCACUAUCAUAUUAGUGCUGACCUUUUUGUUUGACCAGCCAGGCAAUAACCUUAAUUUUUAGGCAGGGCUUUGGAUUUUCAAAUAAAAUUAGCCUGAGGAGAAGAAUAUGGUUGGCUAGAAGAAAAAACCAGAAUGAAUGAACACAAGGAAAAUAACCCUAAGGUCAAUGACCAAAUUAUAUUGAGAAAAGAAGGUGAAAGAUAAACAUGAAGCAAAGGGGACAUUAAAGUGCUUAUCAAAAGAAAUAAAAAAUAAGGAAUACAUCAAAGUGGUGGUAUCAUAACUUUCCUGGUCAUUUGUAAGAGUCUAUUUUGAAGGUCUUUUCAGGAGUGCGAGUGGGAGACUGUAGAUAGGCUUAUUGAGAGUAUUCCUUAUGUGAGUUUGACUGGGUAAAGGGAAGAUUCCAUGUUGUGGAGGGAAAGGAAGGAGGAGAGGUUCUAACUGAAGUCUUUCUACAACUCAAUGUGCUCGAGGGAUAUUUCUUUUUGCUAAAAAAGAGAUGUGAGGUUAGAUGUGCCCCUUUGAGAGCUUGUUUCUUUGCUCGGGAAGCAGUGUGGGAGAAGAUUUUAACAACGGACCAAAUACUGAGGGGAUGGUCUUUGGUGGCUAUAUGCAGUUUGGGCAGAGCUAGUGUCGAAUUUUUAAGCCAUAACUCACUAUGAAAAAGCUUGGUUAUUGUGGUAAUGUUAUUUUUUAUCUUUGGGAUUCAGGUGGUUUUUGUAAGAUCAAUCAAAAAUCUCGUGGGUUGAGAGGCUUGGGGCAUGAAUAAAAGGUUGAUGAAGGUGUGGAGUAUAGCUCAUCUUUGUCUUUUUUUUAGUGCAUUCAGAAAUACUGUACAGUUGGAUUUUCAAUAGUAGAGGUUUUCAUCCAGAGAUUAAAAGUUCCAUAAAAUCUUACCUGUGGUCUAAAGUCUCAUUAGGGAUGGUUAAUCACUCUUUGCAUGACUUAGUUGAUGGCUUAAGUAGAAGAUGGUUGAUUUUUGAAUAGUUUCCUAUUUUCACUCACAUUGUGGUUCCCAUCGUAAAAUUUCAGCAUGCAUUGGUUGGCCCUCCCUUUUUUGCUGGGAGCUGUUUAAUAUUUAUCAAAGCAGAACAAAAGGAGGUUCUAAGAUGGAGAGAGAAAAUAUCUACAUCUAGAACUAAAAGGAGGCUAGCAUAGAGGAAACAUGUACCCUAAUAUAGAAGAAAUGGGAGAAUAUCUAUACCCUAAUCCAUGAUGAGAUAAACAAAUCCAAAAGUUUGCUUUGAUUUGAUUUUAACAAUCUCUCUAGUUGUUUACACCAUCAUAUGCUUCUCAGUGUGUCUUGGUCAUUCUAGUCUAUCUCUUGCUUUGUUGUUCAAGUAUUAUGAGUAUUGACAAAUCAGGAGUGACUGCACACUUCAGCAUUCUCUUAGCAAAUGGCUUUUGAAUAUUCUCUUUUGACUUUGAAUGGAUUGGGAUGCAUGGCAAAUAAUCCCCAGUGCACUCUUGAAUCACUUACAUAAGAAGAGAGCACAAUUUAGUAUGGACCAUAGAAAAACUUGCAUGUCGGUGUCAAGUUGAGCUGUCUGGAUUAGGGAAUUUUGGUAGUUGGCUGUCCAUAAUAAAAUGCUUGAGUUGGCCUUAUAAACAAAUUUUUUGUAUUACCAGCUGUUUAGGUUUCAGUUGUGUGCCAAGAUGAAGAGGAGAAUGUCUGUAGAUAUAUGUUAAUCUAUCAAAAAAAAAAAUGUCUGUAGAUAUAUGUUAGCCAACCGGCUUCAUGCUAGCACACCAUGUUUGUGCCUUUUAGAUCCUCACCCUGAACCCAAACACACACAACCAACCCCCCCACCCCACCCCUUCCUCUGAAGUUAAGCUGCAAGGCAUUGCCGUUCCUCUCUUCUAUUGGGUUUGUUAUCAUUCAUUGGACCCCCCAAAAGUGAACACACUGGUUUUGCAGAGGCUGAGUGGCUGACAAGAAUCUGCACUUCUAGACAUGUGUCCCAGUUGCAUAUUUAGUUGGUCAUCCUAUGCCUUAUGUUUUCCUUCACUGGCAAAAGCAAUAGUAUUUUUGUGUUCUGGGAGAUUCUUUCCCUUAAAAAGAAAUCGGCUUUUCAAAUUGUGAACCUACCUAAACAUAAAAAUAUGGAGUGGUCCAUCCAUGAAUUGGCCUGCACAAUUUGUUUCUCUUCUAUGGGUUGAUGAGUAUUGUUUCCAUUUGCUUCAUUAUCAUCUCUCUCUCUCCUGGGGUUUAAGCUAGUUUGAUAUUCUUUUGGAUGGCUACAAAUUGGUUUACCCACCUAAACAUAAAAAUAUGGGGUGGUCUAUCCAUAAAUUGGUCUGCACAAUUUGUUUCUCUUCUAUGGAUUGAUGAGUAUUGUUUACAUUUGCUUCAUUAUCAUCUCUCUCUCUCUUCUGGGGUUUAAGCUAGUUUGAUAUUCUUUUGGAUGGCUACGAGUUGGUUUUAAACUUCUUUUUUUACAUGAUUUAUUGUGUUGCAG